Hyaena hyaena (striped hyena) is the source of this 957-nucleotide long non-coding RNA. RefSeq lists it as uncharacterized. NCBI's taxonomy places the organism in Eukaryota, Metazoa, Chordata, Mammalia, Carnivora, Hyaenidae. The transcript is spliced from 3 exons. The record is from RefSeq and is a predicted model, not a curated record.
CCGCGCCAUCUAAAAUGAAACUUUUCUUAGAUUUUUCUCAACAAGCUUUUUAAAUCCUCUGGCCUGUAGAGUUGCUGAAAGUUAUAGAAGCGAGGUCCCAUCCAUCCAUCCAUUCUUUCAACAAAUACCCAUCUUAUUCACACAUUCCUUCCAUAGUCCACACGGGAGAUACACUUUUAAUUACAUUAUUUUUAAUAUUAAUAAUAAUCCCUAAGUCUCUUGAGCACAUUCUCUAAAGGCUUUCUGAAUGGAAUAAUGCUUAAUCCUUGCUUGAAGACAAGCGCCAGUCAGCGAAGAGUGGAGUGAUGCAGAAACAGGAGCACAAUGGAGCGUGAGCAUGAGCAGAAGAGGUACACACAAUACAUGAGUGUCCCUUCUUCUUGGCCAGCCAUUUACAUUUAUCAUUCAAGAUGCCUGAGGAGCACAGAAUUCUAUUGAAACUACAAUGAAUGGGAGUUAGAAUAGAUGUAAAAUCAAUACAAGGUAAAAUAAAAAGAAUGCGUCCUCUGAAACCCAAUGAUGUGACAUCCUUUCAUGAACUUCAUGAACUUCUGGGCAGAGGAUUUGUCGUGGACAGAAUGUUUGUGUGCUCCCUUUCCCCCAUUUGUAUGUUCAAGUUCUAACUCCCAUUGUGGCUGGAUUUGGAGAAGGGGCUUGUAAGGAAUUAAUUAAUUAAGAUUAAAUGAGGUCAUAAGGGUAGGGCCCAGAUCAGAUAGGAUCAGUGCCCUUGUAAGAGGAAACACCAGAAUGCUGACCUGCGUGCUCCCGUGUUCUCUCUCUCUCUCUGAAUGUGCGUGUGUGUGUAUGUGUGCGCGUGCACGCGCGCGCCGGUGUAUCCAGGAAAGGCCAUCUACAAGCCAGAAGAGAUUUACCAGAAACUGAACCCUGUGGAUACCUUGAUCUUGGGAUUUGUAGUCUCCAGAACUGUGGAAAGAUAAAUUUCACUUAUUUAAAGUA